RNAcentral lists this ribosomal RNA (432 nucleotides) under Methylobacterium sp. EI199. Its description in RNAcentral is "bacterial SSU rRNA". It matches the Rfam family "Bacterial small subunit ribosomal RNA", at positions 8 to 487 of the family's 1533-position model. The record is from RNAcentral. Lineage: Bacteria; Pseudomonadati; Pseudomonadota; Alphaproteobacteria; Hyphomicrobiales; Methylobacteriaceae.
AGAGUUUGAUCCUGGCUCAGAGCGAACGCUGGCGGCAGGCUUAACACAUGCAAGUCGAGCGGGCCCUUCGGGGUCAGCGGCGGACGGGUGAGUAACGCGUGGGAACGUGCCUUCUGGUUCGGAAUAACCCUGGGAAACUAGGGCUAAUACCGGAUACGCCCUUUUGGGGAAAGGUUUACUGCCGGAAGAUCGGCCCGCGUCUGAUUAGCUAGUUGGUGGGGUAACGGCCUACCAAGGCGACGAUCAGUAGCUGGUCUGAGAGGAUGAUCAGCCACACUGGGACUGAGACACGGCCCAGACUCCUACGGGAGGCAGCAGUGGGGAAUAUUGGACAAUGGGCGCAAGCCUGAUCCAGCCAUGCCGCGUGAGUGAUGAAGGCCUUAGGGUUGUAAAGCUCUUUUAUCCGGGACGAUAAUGACGGACCGGAGAAUA